AAAUUGAAGAGUUUGAUCAUGGCUCAGAUUGAACGCUGGCGGCAGGCCUAACACAUGCAAGUCGAACGGUAACAGGAAGCAGCUUGCUGCUUCGCUGACGAGUGGCGGACGGGUGAGUAAUGUCUGGGAAACUGCCUGAUGGAGGGGGAUAACUACUGGAAACGGUAGCUAAUACCGCAUAAUGUCGCAAGAC
Molecule: ribosomal RNA, 193 nt
Filed under: Escherichia coli
Lineage: Bacteria; Pseudomonadati; Pseudomonadota; Gammaproteobacteria; Enterobacterales; Enterobacteriaceae
Also listed under: 2 other names
Description: partial 16S ribosomal RNA
Rfam family: Bacterial small subunit ribosomal RNA
Source: RNAcentral